GAUGAACGCUGGCGGCGUGCCUAAUACAUGCAAGUCGAGCGAACAGAUGAGGAGCUUGCUCCUCUGACGUUAGCGGCGGACGGGUGAGUAACACGUGGAUAACCUACCUAUAAGACUGGGAUAACUUCGGGAAACCGGAGCUAAUACCGGAUAAUAUAUUGAACCGCAUGGUUCAAUAGUGAAAGACGGUUUUGCUGUCACUUAUAGAUGGAUCCGCGCCGCAUUAGCUAGUUGGUAAGGUAACGGGUUACCAAGGCAACGAUGCGUAGCCGACCUGAGAGGGUGAUCGGCCACCCUGGAACUUAGCCACGGUCCAGACGCCUACGGGAGGCAGCAGUAGCGAACCUUCCGCAGUGGGCGAAAGCCUGACGGAGCAACGCCGCGUGAGUGAUGAAGGUCUUCGGAUCGUAAAACUCUGUUAUUAGGGAAGAACAAAUGUGUAAGUAACUAUGCACGUCUUGACGGUACCUAAUCAGAAAGCCCCGGCUAACUACGUG
This 497-nucleotide ribosomal RNA is filed under the name uncultured bacterium. RNAcentral's name for it is "partial 16S ribosomal RNA". It matches the Rfam family "Bacterial small subunit ribosomal RNA", at positions 28 to 507 of the family's 1533-position model. The record is from RNAcentral.